GGCUGUUGUUAUCUUUAAAAUGGAAACAGAGGAGGUGCUGCAAAAUCUCAGCCCCUCUCUUUGAAGAUCACAGUGCAGGAGUUGUGUUUGUAACAAGAAGCCUCCUCUCUGAUCAGUGUUGACUUGGAUAGAGCAAGAGGGAAAUCAAGGAGCCAAAAGAUGCUUUAAGUGCGCAUCCCAAAAACAGACGUUGGGUGUGAAUUGACCAUACUCUACAGGAGUGGAGGAAAGAAGGGACUCAGCCGAAUAAAGCCCUAAGGUGUAGGGCUGGGACGGACAGAAAAAUGUGAGAACCUCUGUGUUCAGCUCCCACAAAUCUCCAAAGGGGCCACCAGGACUGUACAGAUCUGCUUUUGUGUGCCGCAGGCUGCAGGACUUCCCUCAGGCAGCCUCGUGCCUUUUUAGAAUGGGAAUCUCCCUCUCCAGAAGAGACAUCAAGUGGGGAGGAACACCUGAAACACCACUCAAUAUUUGAUCACCUACUUGCUGCAGCGUGGUGCAGAGAACGGAGUUAGACUCCAAAACAGUCCAGUUUAGGAGACUGGGAAAACUAGG
Long non-coding RNA from Numida meleagris (helmeted guineafowl), 555 nucleotides. RefSeq lists it as uncharacterized. The transcript has 4 exons. NCBI's taxonomy places the organism in Eukaryota, Metazoa, Chordata, Aves, Galliformes, Numididae. The record is from RefSeq and is a predicted model, not a curated record.